UCUAGUGAACAACAGACCUAGCACCUUCAGUAGCUCUUUGUGUUUUAUCUCACAGGUCUCCCCAACACUGUAAAUGUCCUGAAAUGGAGGGUCGUCCUCGAUGACGUCAAUGCAGAGAGGCUUAUUUUGCCCUACCCUCCUGAGACUGUAAAUGAGCUCUACAGUGAAUUCCACAGAAUCACCAAUCAAUAUCUACCAUUGCCCUUCUAAACUGCACUGCACUUGACAAAUAUGCACCUCAGCUGCUGAAACUUUACAAGAAGAGGAAGACUGGAGGUGUUGGUGAGAAGAUGGAAGAUGUUUUGAUGGCAUAGGAGGAACAUAUGCAUUACAUUGCUGUUGAAUGUGAGGAGUAGAGCCUAACACCCCCCUGUGCAAACAGGACAAAAACAAGACUCCAGCCCUGGCUGCUGUAUUCAAAGGAGGAUUCAACUGUUUCAACAAAGGUCUUUGUCUAUUCUCCCUUUCCCAUAUCCAUAUACACUGGUAACAAAUUAUCCAGGUUAUUACCUCAUUAUUUUGGAAUUUAAGCUGCAUUUCAUGUUUUGUUUUGUAAAUAAUGGUUACGUUAAAGAAAUAACCUAUUUCUAAUUUGGUCACAAGGUGGCAGCAGAGGUGCAUCAGUACACUCUGUUUAAGGUCUGAGAGAAGGAGGGAGACGUCAUCCCACUCGUAUAUACGAUCUUUUUUUUUUCUUUCUUCCCCUUUCUCGCCUACUGCCCGGUUUAAGUAGAAGUUAGUGAAGUACCGUAGCUCUGAGCUAAAUCGACCACGUCAAAGGGUUGAAUUGAAACAUCGAAAUAGGAAUUAAACACUGACAAACAAGAGACGACUGAGAAGCUGUUGACAUCGCGUGGAACUGCGUAGGACUCCUGAGAAGCUGUUAAUUGCUCUUCCGGUUGUGUAGGCUGGUUUUGUGUGGAGUUCUUCAGUGGAACGUCAUCUGUCCAUAUCUUCAACCCAGUUGCUUUCCAUCUUCUGCCAAGGGAUCGUCAUCCACGUCGCCAUUUCGCCCUGCGAUACUCACCUUGAACUGCCUUAUUUGACAUUCAUGGGGGAAAAGGGUGGAUGAGUUGGAAGCAACCCAAGAGGGGCAGUGGCUCUGGUGGCAGUAGUGAAUGAAGAUCAGGGUCCUGCGGGAGUUCCCUUUGAAACUCACCAUGUGUCUCUCGUCUUCACAAUCAGGUUGUAAUGGCUCACACACUGAUCUACGCGAAGCUUUUUUUUGUAACUUUACAAUAAAAUUGACUGCAUAAUUAUUUUAUUAUU
This is a long non-coding RNA of Solea senegalensis (Senegalese sole), 1269 nucleotides long. RefSeq lists it as uncharacterized. The record is from RefSeq and is a predicted model, not a curated record. NCBI's taxonomy places the organism in Eukaryota, Metazoa, Chordata, Actinopteri, Pleuronectiformes, Soleidae. The transcript has 4 exons.